CCUACGGGAGGCAGCAGUGAGGAAUAUUGGACAAUGGGCGCAAGCCUGAUCCAGCCAUGCCGCGUGCAGGAUGACGGUCCUAUGGAUUGUAAACUGCUUUUGCACAGGAAGAAACAACAUUACGUGUAAUGUCUUGACGGUACUGUGAGAAUAAGGAUCGGCUAACUCCGUGCCAGCAGCCGCGGUAAUACGGAGGAUCCAAGCGUUAUCCGGAAUCAUUGGGUUUAAAGGGUCCGUAGGCGGUUUAGUAAGUCAGUGGUGAAAGCCCAUCGCUCAACGGUGGAACGGCCAUUGAUACUGCUAGACUUGAAUUAUUAGGAAGUAACUAGAAUAUGUAGUGUAGCGGUGAAAUGCUUAGAGAUUACAUGGAAUACCAAUUGCGAAGGCAGGUUACUACUAAUGGAUUGACGCUGAUGGACGAAAGCGUGGGUAGCGAACAGGAUUAGAUACCCUGGUAGUCCACGCCGUAAACGAUGGAUACUAGCUGUUGGGAGCGAUCUCAGUGGCUAAGCGAAAGUGAUAAGUAUCCCACCUGGGGAGACGUUCGCAAGAAUGAAACUUAAAUGAAAUUGACGG
RNAcentral lists this ribosomal RNA (576 nucleotides) under uncultured bacterium. RNAcentral describes it as "bacterial SSU rRNA". It matches the Rfam family "Bacterial small subunit ribosomal RNA", at positions 338 to 916 of the family's 1533-position model. The record is from RNAcentral.